GCAGUGGUGGUUCAGUGGUAGAAUUCUAGCCUUCCAUGUGGGAGACCUGAGUUUGAUUCCCAGCCAGUCCA
This 71-nucleotide transfer RNA is filed under the name Loxodonta africana (African savanna elephant). It matches the Rfam family "tRNA". Rfam says of the family: Transfer RNA (tRNA) molecules are approximately 80 nucleotides in length. The record is from Rfam by way of RNAcentral. Lineage: Eukaryota; Metazoa; Chordata; Mammalia; Proboscidea; Elephantidae.